RNAcentral lists this ribosomal RNA (659 nucleotides) under uncultured Alphaproteobacteria bacterium. RNAcentral's name for it is "bacterial SSU rRNA". It matches the Rfam family "Bacterial small subunit ribosomal RNA", at positions 85 to 778 of the family's 1533-position model. The record is from RNAcentral. Lineage: Bacteria; Pseudomonadati; Pseudomonadota; Alphaproteobacteria.
GCAAUACUUAGUGGCAGACGGGUGAGUAACAUGUAGGUAUCUUCCCUUUGGUGAGGAAUAACACGAGGAAACUCGUGCUAAUACCUCAUAAGUCUUUACGGAGAAAGCUUUAUGCGCCGAAGGAUGGGCCUGCAUUUGAUUAGUUUGUUGGUGGGGUAAUGGCCUACCAAGACUUUGAUCAAUAGCUGAUCUGAGAGGAUGAUCAGCCACAUUGGGACUGAGACACGGCCCAAACUCCUACGGGAGGCAGCAGUAGGGAAUAUUGCACAAUGGAGGAAACUCUGAUGCAGCGAUGCCGCGUGAGUGAAGAAGGCCUUUGGGUUGUAAAGCUCUUUCGUCGGGGAAGAAAAUGACUGUACCCGAAUAAGAAGGUCCGGCUAACUUCGUGCCAGCAGCCGCGGUAAUACGAAGGGACCUAGCGUAGUUCGGAAUUACUGGGCUUAAAGAGUUCGUAGGUUGUUAAAAAAGUUGGUGGUGAAAUCCCAGAGCUUAACUCUGGAACUGCCAUCAAAACUUUUUAGCUAGAGUAUGAUAGAGGAAAGCAGAAUUUCUAGUGUAGAGGUGAAAUUCGUAGAUAUUAGAAAGAAUACCAAUUGCGAAGGCAGCUUUCUGGAUCAUUACUGACACUGAGGAACGAAAGCAUGGGUAGCGAAGAGGAU